Molecule: ribosomal RNA, 484 nt
Filed under: uncultured bacterium
Lineage: Bacteria
Description: partial 16S ribosomal RNA
Rfam family: Bacterial small subunit ribosomal RNA
Source: RNAcentral
AUUGAACGCUGGCGGCAGGCCUAACACAUGCAAGUCGAGCGGAUGAAGGGAGCUUGCUCCUGGAUUCAGCGGCGGACGGGUGAGUAAUGCCUAGGAAUCUGCCUGGUAGUGGGGGAUAACGUCCGGAAACGGGCGCUAAUACCGCAUACGUCCUGAGGGAGAAAGUGGGGGAUCUUCGGACCUCACGCUAUCAGAUGAGCCUAGGUCGGAUUAGCUAGUUGGUGGGGUAAAGGCCUACCAAGGCGACGAUCCGUAACUGGUCUGAGAGGAUGAUCAGUCACACUGGAACGGAGACACGGUCCAGACUCCUACGGGAGGCAGCAGUGGGGAAUAUUGGACAAUGGGCGAAAGCCUGAUCCAGCCAUGCCGCGUGUGUGAAGAAGGUCUUCGGAUUGUAAAGCACGUUAAGUUGGGAGGAAGGGCAGUAAGUUAAUACCUUGCUGUUUUGACGUUACCAACAGAAUAAGCACCGGCUAACUUCGUG